Molecule: transfer RNA, 65 nt
Organism: Cavia porcellus (domestic guinea pig)
Lineage: Eukaryota; Metazoa; Chordata; Mammalia; Rodentia; Caviidae
Rfam family: tRNA
About the family: Transfer RNA (tRNA) molecules are approximately 80 nucleotides in length. Their secondary structure includes four short double-helical elements and three loops (D, anti-codon, and T loops).
Source: Rfam
AAGGAUUUAGCUCAGCGGCAUAAGCGCCUGCCUUGCAAGCAGGCAGUCUUGAGCUCAAUUCCUUG